GUGCCAGCCGCCGCGGUAAUACGGAGGGUCCAAGCGUUAUCCGGAUUUAUUGGGUUUAAAGGGUGCGCAGGCGGAUUUGUAAGUCAGUGGUGAAAUCCCCCGGCUUAACCUGGGAACUGCAUACAAUACUGUCUAACUAGAGUGCAGCAGAGGAAGGUGGAAUUCCGGGUGUAGCGGUGAAAUGCGUAGAUAUCUGGAGGAACAUCAGUGGCGAAGGCGACCUUCUGGGCUGACACUGACGCUCAUGUACGAAAGCGUGGGGAGCAAACAGGAUUAGAAACCCUUGUAGUCC
Molecule: ribosomal RNA, 292 nt
Filed under: uncultured bacterium
Lineage: Bacteria
Description: partial 16S ribosomal RNA
Rfam family: Bacterial small subunit ribosomal RNA
Source: RNAcentral